UACGUAGGGGGCAAGCGUUAUCCGGAUUUACUGGGUGUAAAGGGAGCGUAGACGGUGAUGCAAGUCAGAAGUGAAAGCCCGGGGCUCAACCCCGGGACUGCUUUGGAAACUGCAUAGCUGGAGUGCUGGAGAGGCAAGCGGAAUUCCGUGUGUAGCGGUGAAAUGCGUAGAUAUACGGAGGAACACCAGUGGCGAAGGCGGCCUGCUGGACAAUAACUGACGCUGAGGCGCGAAAGCGUGGGGAGCAAACAGG
This 253-nucleotide ribosomal RNA is filed under the name uncultured Blautia sp. RNAcentral describes it as "partial 16S ribosomal RNA". It matches the Rfam family "Bacterial small subunit ribosomal RNA", at positions 524 to 776 of the family's 1533-position model. Lineage: Bacteria; Bacillati; Bacillota; Clostridia; Lachnospirales; Lachnospiraceae. The record is from RNAcentral.